This 27-nucleotide non-coding RNA is filed under the name Mus musculus (house mouse). The record is from RNAcentral. Lineage: Eukaryota; Metazoa; Chordata; Mammalia; Rodentia; Muridae.
UCAAGAUUGUCUAUCUCUAGUGUAAAU